This 497-nucleotide ribosomal RNA is filed under the name uncultured bacterium. Its description in RNAcentral is "partial 16S ribosomal RNA". It matches the Rfam family "Bacterial small subunit ribosomal RNA", at positions 28 to 507 of the family's 1533-position model. The record is from RNAcentral.
GAUGAACGCUGGCGGCGUGCCUAAUACAUGCAAGUCGAGCGAACAGACGAGAAGCUUGCUCCCCUGCCGUUAGCGGGUGGCGGGUGGGUAAGACAUGCAUAGCCUACUUCUAAGUCUGGGGUGAUUUCGGAAAACCGCUGACACUACUGGCUCAUAUAUUCAACGGCUGGAUUCAAUGGUGAAUGGCGCUUUUCCUGUUUCUAUUAGCUGAUUCCGCGUCGCAUUAGCUAGUUGGUAAGGUAACGGCUUACCAAGGCGACGAUGCGUAGCCGACCUGAGAGGAUGAUCGGCCACACUGGAACUGAGACACGGUCCAGACUCCUACGGGAGGCAGCAGUAGGGAAUCUUCGACAAUGGGCGAAAGCCUGACGGAGCAACGCCGCGUGAGUGAUGAAGGUCUUCGGAUCGUAAAGCUCUGUUAUUAGGGAAGAACAAAUGUGUAUGUAUCUAUGCACGUCUUGACGGUACCUAAUCAGAAAGCCACGGCUAACUACGUG